CUGAGAGAAUUUUUUGUUGGGCAGCUCUUCUUUGUUUGAAACAAAGCUUUGCCCUAAACCCGGUAAAAAACAAUGAUAAAUUUCAUAUUUCAUGCCAUUAUACAUGAUAUAGUUGAUGUUAAAAUAAUGAUAGGAAACAAGGGCAAAGUUCUGCAUUGAAAAGUAUAAUUUACCCCUUGACAGCGGAACUGCAGUAGAAGAGAGAAUAUGUAUGUAAAUCAAAAGAAACACGAAAAGCGUAAGAUAAACCUUCAUUUUCAUGUUGAGAUUGUAGGUAGAAUUCAAUAGAAAGUAAUGUGAAAAUGGAGAAGGUUGAUGGUUUUGAUUUGAC
RNAcentral lists this long non-coding RNA (331 nucleotides) under Olea europaea (common olive). RNAcentral's name for it is "long non-coding RNA (OEUR_LNC012418)". Lineage: Eukaryota; Viridiplantae; Streptophyta; Magnoliopsida; Lamiales; Oleaceae. The record is from RNAcentral.